AAAAUGUAAUUUUUUUUUAUCAGAUUGGAUCAGAUAUUUGUGGAUUUUGGGAGGACACCACAGAGGAACUAUGUGCAAGGUGGAACCAGGUCGGUGCAUUUUAUCCCUUUGCCAGGAACCACAAUGCUAUAGGAUUCAGAGCCCAGGAUCCAGUAGCGAUGGGAGAGAAAGUGAUAAGGGCUACACGACAAGCCGUGACUGCUCGCUACCAACUUCUGCCAUAUUUGUACACCCUCUUCUACUUGUCUCACACCACAGGCUCAACAGUA
Limulus polyphemus (Atlantic horseshoe crab) is the source of this 269-nucleotide long non-coding RNA. RefSeq lists it as uncharacterized. The transcript has 2 exons. The record is from RefSeq and is a predicted model, not a curated record. NCBI's taxonomy places the organism in Eukaryota, Metazoa, Arthropoda, Merostomata, Xiphosura, Limulidae.